GCGUCGGAUUAGCUAGUUGGUGAGGUAACGGCUCACCAAGGCGACGAUCCGUAGCUGGUUUGAGAGAACGACCAGCCACACCGGAACUGAGACACGGUCCGGACUCCUACGGGAGGCAGCAGUGGGGAAUAUUGGACAAUGGGGGCAACCCUGAUCCAGCAAUGCCGCGUGUGUGAAGAAGGCCUUCGGGUUGUAAAGCACUUUCGGUGGGGACAAACAAGGCGGAGCUAACAUCUCCGUCCCUGAUGGUACCCAAAGAAGAAGCACCGGCUAACUCUGUGCCAGCAGCCGCGGUAAUACAGAGGGUGCAAGCGUUAAUCGGAAUUACUGGGCGUAAAGCGUGCGUAGGUGGUUUGUUAAGUCAGGUGUGAAAUCCUCGGGCUCAACCCAGGAACUGCGCUUGAUACUGGCAGACUCGAGUGUGGUAGAGGAUAGUGGAAUUCCCGGUGUAGCGGUGAAAUGCGUAGAUAUCGGGAGGAACAUCAGUGGCGAAGGCGGCUAUCUGGACCAACACUGACACUGAGGUACGAAAGCGUGGGUAGCAAACAGGAUUAGAUACCCUGGUAGUCCACGCCCUAAACGAUGGGUACUAGACGUCGGGAAGCUUGUCUUCUUGGUGUCGCAGCUAACGCAAUAAGUACCCCGCCUGGGGAGUACGGUCGCAAGAUUA
Molecule: ribosomal RNA, 670 nt
Filed under: uncultured bacterium
Lineage: Bacteria
Description: bacterial SSU rRNA
Rfam family: Bacterial small subunit ribosomal RNA
Source: RNAcentral